RNAcentral lists this ribosomal RNA (250 nucleotides) under uncultured bacterium. RNAcentral describes it as "partial 16S ribosomal RNA". It matches the Rfam family "Bacterial small subunit ribosomal RNA", at positions 1250 to 1500 of the family's 1533-position model. The record is from RNAcentral.
CAAAGCCGCGAGGUGGAGCGAAUCCCUAAAAGCCGUCCCAGUUCGGAUUGCAGGCUGCAACCCGCCUGCAUGAAGUUGGAAUCGCUAGUAAUCGCGGAUCAGCAUGCCGCGGUGAAUACGUUCCCGGGCCUUGUACACACCGCCCGUCACACCAUGAGAGUCGGGGACACCCGAAGUCCGUAGUCUAACCGCAAGGGGGACGCGGCCGAAGGUGGAUUCGAUAAUUGGGGUGAAGUCGUAACAAGGUACC